This 1292-nucleotide long non-coding RNA is filed under the name Coffea arabica (coffee). RNAcentral's name for it is "long non-coding RNA (CARA_LNC004776)". Lineage: Eukaryota; Viridiplantae; Streptophyta; Magnoliopsida; Gentianales; Rubiaceae. The record is from RNAcentral.
UUCCCUCCAUGGCCGAACCACCUUGAGAGAAAGAGAGAAAGAAAGCUUCAACUUCAACCUCCAUUCCUUGCUUGAAUCUUGAGUUCCAACCAUAGAUUUUGCAAAAUACUCCAUAAAAGUUGUUCACUAGGGAAGAUUAAGGGCUUGAGUGGAGAGAUUUUUUGGAGGAAAAGCACUAAGUUUCCAUCUUUCUUGAAGGUAUAAGGUAACUUUGGCAAGAAACUUUCCUCUACUUCAAAUAUAUGCAAACUAGUGGUUUAGGGUUUCAAUUUCGGUAGUUUCAUGAGAAAAUUUCAUGGUUUGAAGUUGUGAUGUGAAAUUUUCAGUUUUUAUGGUAAUUUUCUGCCCACGUAUGAUGCUUAAGUGUUGGCCAUGGCUUGGUAGCUUUGCUAUGUGAAAUAUAUAGGUUUUAUAUGCUAGUUUGACAUGCCUAAAGAAAGUUCCAGCUUGUGAGUAGGAAUUCCAACUUAGGGUUUCAUUUUCUAGCUUGAGUAGGGGAUGGUUAUAUGCUUGAUUUAGUGAGUUGUUGGCUUGGUAUGUAUAUGCUUGAUUUGAGGCUGUUUUGUGGUGAGAAUGAAGCCUUGAAUUGGCUGGAAAAAUUGCUAAAAACAAAGGAGGUGCUGCUAAAAAUUUGUCCCCAGGAACCCUUGGACAGUUUUCGAAAAUCUGCUAUAUCUUGUUGUAGAAAAGUCGGAAUUGAGUUCCGUUUAUUGCGUUUGAAACUAGAGUCAGAGUACUAUCAACCGUCAACAUUUCAGCCUUUUUCUCAAUUCCCAUGAAUAUCUGUGAUUUUUCAAACUUGACUGAAAUUGCAUACCUGUUCUGUCUUUUACUGGAUGAAGUAGCAACUUGAGGCUCGGAUUUGACUGACUUAGGGACUGAAUCUUACAAAUGUGUCUUCUGGGAAAUUGUAACCCUUUGUGCCUAUUUUCCGACCGUAUAAAGUUUAUCAAUUUUGGACUUAAGAAACUUAAGAUAUGAUUUUUUAAAUAGUGUUGUGCAAAGCUAAGAAAUUCUCUUCUCUUAGAACUGUUUUACUUUCAUUUUCCACUUUAAGUGUGGAGUUGGUCUUUCAUUUUGGGUAUGGUUUAUGCAUGGAAUUGAGAUUUAAGAAAAAGAAAAUGAAGUCUUAGAAACCUUAAGUUCUUCAUGUAUUUUAGUUUUGUUUUGCUAGUCUUUUACUAUAGUAUGUGACCGCAGGACUCGAGAUGGUUCAAGAGGACAAACCAGCGUUCAAGUGCAGGGUUGCAUUUGAUUAGUGAGUGUACCACUCGCAUGACUUGUUGCUUAAU